This 253-nucleotide ribosomal RNA is filed under the name uncultured bacterium. Its description in RNAcentral is "partial 16S ribosomal RNA". It matches the Rfam family "Bacterial small subunit ribosomal RNA", at positions 524 to 776 of the family's 1533-position model. The record is from RNAcentral.
UACGUAGGUGGCGAGCGUUGUCCGGAAUGACUGGGCGUAAAGGGAGCGUAGGUUGUUGUUUAAGUUAAAUGUGAAAGCCCGCGGCUCAACUGCGGAACUGCAUUUAAUACUGGACAACUAGAGUGCAGGAGGGGUAAGCGGAAUUCCUAGUGUAGCGGUGGAAUGCGUAGAUAUUAGGAAGAACACCAGAGGCGAAGGCGGCUUACUGGACUGUAACUGACACUGAGGCUCGAAAGCGUGGGGAGCAAACAGG